RNAcentral lists this long non-coding RNA (2516 nucleotides) under Homo sapiens (human). Its description in RNAcentral is "non-protein coding lnc-FOXQ1-15:3". Lineage: Eukaryota; Metazoa; Chordata; Mammalia; Primates; Hominidae. The record is from RNAcentral.
UCUCCUCCUUGCAGGUAAAUGAGAGCUGGAACUCAGCCUUGGCUCACAGCAGAAAACAAUUCUAACCCAGGGCGCAUCCACAUUCGUGGGGAAAUGUUCAAGUGCUUGAUCAUAGAUGCAGGAAAAAAAAGUCUGAUUUGUUGGCAUCAGACCUAGUCUUUAGAUGGGAAAACUAAUAAACAUCAACCUUGAAGACAAGAGACAAACAUUUCUUCUCCAGAAAUAUACUGACAGUGACCUUAUAGUCUUCAAACAUUUGGGCCUUUAAAAUAAACAGACUUUUGUAAAAUAUCUAAUUAACAGCUAAAAGUUGUAAGUGAAGGCUGGAAUAUUGAGAAGAUAAAUAAUUGGAUUUCAUUUAUCUUCAAUGCUCUAAAUUUUUGCUUCUUCCACCUUUGCCUAUAGGAUGAACACAUCCUGAGAAUGCAGGCCCAGGCAGAACCAGGGACAACACAACUAGCAGACGAAGUUGAAUAAUGACUCUCACCCAGACCUCCCUUCACUUUGGUGCCCAGAAUUUGGUCUUGUAAAAGAUUCAGACAUCCAUGCUUCUCUAAUUAGAAUAGGCUUUACUUCUAUAGAUAAGCACAGGUAAACCAGGAGAUUAGAAUCUAUACAAUAUACCUAGAACAUCUUUUUAGAGCAAGUUUCACUUGAAGAUUUAGGGGAAGGGGUGUUAAGAAAUGUUCUUUCACUUUAAGAGCAAGUCCAGUGUUUUUAAUAUUGAAGUAUGGAUGACUUACAGGACUAUGCCUAAUUUGCAGGAAAUUUGAAUAUAAAACACAAGACUUUUUGGUAUUUUACUUUAUGAUGGGCUUUUGGGGUCCUCAUCUGUAAUCUUUCUGCAAUACCAGCACAACCUUUCCAUUUCAGUCGAGAAGUCUGGUCCACGAUGUCCUAGGUAGACCGUGAAGCUCUGAAGAACAUGUGCCUUGCACUUGCUCCUGGUUCAAUUUGUCCAUUGCUCAUCAUAAAUCUCAGAGACACCGGAGAGAACCAAGCAUCACCAACAGUGACUGAUAUGGUUUGGCUGUGUCCCCACCCAAAUCUCAUCUUGAAUUGUAAUCCCCAUAAUCCCCCCGAGUCGUGGGAGAGACCUGCUGGGAGGUAAUUGAAUCAUGGGGGUGGUUUCCCCUAUGCUGUUCUCGUGAUAGUGACAGAGUUCUCACAAGACCUGAUGGUUUUAUAAGCGUCUGGCAUUUCCCCUGCUGGCACUCUUUCUCUCCUGCUGCUCUGUGAAGAGGUGCCUCCUAUCAUGAUUGUAAGUUUCCUGAGGCCUCUCUACUCAGGCAUAACUGUGUCAAUUAACCUCUUUUCUUUAUAAAUUACCAGACUUGGGUAUUUCUUCAUAGCAGCAUGAGAACAUAUGAAUACAAUGACCAGUUAUGGAUGAGAAGUGCCCAACUGCACAAUCUUAUCGAUUUCAUACCACCAGGUCUCACAGAAAUGGUACGGAGAUGUCUCAAGCAAGAUCAAAUCAGAAAAAUCAUGACUCCAUGAGGAGCCAGGCACAGUGACUCCCACCUGCAAUCCCAGCUACUCAGGAGGCUGAGGCAGGAGAAUCACUUGAUCCCUAGGAUUUGAAGCUGCAGUGAGUUAUGAUCAUACCACUGCACUCCAACCUGGGUGAUAGAGGGAGACUCUAUCUCUUAAAAAAUAUAUAUCCAUAAGGGUAGAGGUCUUUAUUUUGUUCAUGAACUUAUCCACCAAGCACAUAAAACAGUUCAUGCUCUGUAAACAUAUGUCGAAAAUUAAUUCUAUAUGCUACUUCCCCAAACAUUAUUUUCUAAUUAUCUUCCCAAAUGGCUAGUUAGAUGAAAAUCAGUUGUCUCUUGUACCAUUCUACAUUCAGAAGGAAUGAAAGGUAUGCUAUAAGGAAAGGGGAGUGUGAGUAACUAAUUUGAAGGAAAAAAGUAACCAAGGUUUUCAGUGUUUGUGGAUGGAUAUAUAGACAUCUGUCCCUCUUUGAGUCAUUGGGAAUUUGACAUCGUUUCCCAGAGGGGGCUUAGUUGAGAGUGAGCUGGCCAAGAUUCAAUCAGGGUAAGCCUGAAGCUGUGUGCUUGAACUGGGGAAACGCUUCAGGAGUCACAGGAGCGAUCUCUUCCAUGUGCGGAUGGACCUGUCCACAACACUCUUGAAGAUGCCAAAGGAUUCUGGUCGGCCAACCAAGCACCAAGUGGUUUGUUUAUGGGGGAUGGCGUGAUCCUGGAGUAAGAAUAAAUAACCAAUCAAUUGAACAGAAUAAAGUAGAAGAUCAGACCCAUAUUUCUAUACACAUUUCUAUACAAAUGUGUACAAAUGUAUACAUUUCUAAACAAAUGUGUUUCUAUACAAAUGAUAGCUACACAUAUAAUAAAAGUUUGAUUUUAACAUUAGAAAGGAAAAUAGAUUCUUUAGUAUAGGGCUCUAUUCCUAACUCACAUCAUAUACCAAAAUAAAUUUCAAAUAGAUUACAGAGUGGCAUACUGAAAAUUACCAAUGAAAGAAUUGAAAGCAAUAUAACUAAAUACCUAUCC